This 253-nucleotide ribosomal RNA is filed under the name uncultured bacterium. RNAcentral's name for it is "partial 16S ribosomal RNA". It matches the Rfam family "Bacterial small subunit ribosomal RNA", at positions 524 to 776 of the family's 1533-position model. The record is from RNAcentral.
UACAGAGGUCUCAAGCGUUGUUCGGAUUCAUUGGGCGUAAAGGGUGCGUAGGUGGCGGGGCAAGUCUGGUGUGAAAUCCUGGGGCUCAACCCCGGAACUGCACUGGAUACUGCUUUGCUAGAGUACUGGAGAGGGAACUGGAAUUUACGGUGUAGCAGUGAAAUGCGUAGAUAUCGUAAGGAAGACCAGUGGCGAAGGCGAGUCUCUGGACAGCUACCGACGCUGAGGCACGAAGGCCAGGGGAGCAAACGGG